AAAGAGUAUAGUUUUGUAUUGUUUAUGUCCAAUGUUUGACCAUCUGUCUUAAUAGAUAAAAAUUUACGAUUAGUAUUUUUACUGUUAUUAGAUGAUAAAAUAUCAAUAGUACUUUAUGUGUGACUAAUUUUUCUUAUUUUUUAUAAAUUUUUAAAUAAGACGGAUGAUCAAAUAUUGGACAAGAAAAUACAUAACCGCACUUAAA
This is a microRNA precursor of Oryza sativa Japonica Group (Japanese rice), 205 nucleotides long. It matches the Rfam family "MIR812 microRNA precursor family". NCBI's taxonomy places the organism in Eukaryota, Viridiplantae, Streptophyta, Magnoliopsida, Poales, Poaceae. The record is from Rfam.